This 3009-nucleotide long non-coding RNA is filed under the name Citrus sinensis (sweet orange). RNAcentral describes it as "long non-coding RNA (CSIN_LNC002093)". The record is from RNAcentral. Lineage: Eukaryota; Viridiplantae; Streptophyta; Magnoliopsida; Sapindales; Rutaceae.
CUUAAGUGGUUUAUCACCCUGAGUUUCGUUGACCAUGGGUGUGACAUGGGCAGUUUUCGUGGAUACACGACUUGGAAGCGAGUCAAUUUCCUUCAAAACUUCCUCGAUGUGUGAGAUGAGUCUUUCCACCAAGCUACGGCUGAAAUCCUCCCUGACAACCACCCGAAGAACCGCCACAUUUUCAGCAUUAGCAGGCAUUGUAUAGGCCGGAACUAUCCACCCAAACUUUCUCAAACCCUCGGAUAUCUCAAACACGGUGUGUGCGCUGCUGUCCUUCAAAGAAAAGGCUACUAAGGGUACGCCAACAUCCUUGGAGAGAAUUUCAAAGCGCCCUGUUUUCUCUAAUCCUUCUCUUAGCGCUCUAGCAUUCCCCAUGCAAUUUUCCAUAAUGUUCUUGUAACCCUAGUUUACAGGACAAGAAAAGGACAUACCUUGAGACUUGAAAUAAAAGUAAAGGUAAUUUCCUGGACAAAUACAGGCCAAAUUGUACAUUUUAUUGAAUAUAUGAGCAGUCAGAAUCAUUUCAAAUCUAGCAAACACUAGUCAGUUUAAUAUCCAAAAAACAUGAGACAACAAGAAAAUUGAUCCCAUCACAACUGAUCGAUUUUGGUGCAUCAGUUCUCAACCUCAUUUUGUCAAUGUCUACCGGUAACAAACUAACUUUAACUGAUGAACUUUAACAAUAUGCCAUAUGAACACUUACAAAUUAACAGGAUUUCAUAGUACAUGCAAAGUGUCAUAAAAGUAGGAGGAAUGUAUCACAAAGAAACUUGAGAGUUUUUUAUGAUCAACACAACAAAAAGAUGGAAUUACCUCAAAGCCAAGCCGUAUAAACUGAUAAUAUUGAGCAAUUAUUUGACUGGAGCCUGCCAAAUAGGAAUGAUUGUCAAUUACAAAAAUACAACUACAAUGGUCGCAAAAAUAUCAAAUUUACAAGUCAUCUUCCAUUCAAUGGAACAACACAAUGUUCUUGUAACAGAUUACUUGACAGAUGCUCUUGUAAAACGAUAUAGGCCCAUUGGUGUGUCUUAGCUCAAACGAAAAACAGUAAGACCUCUAGAAGGUAGUACAGAAUAGUUUAGGUUGAAAUGCAGAUGGUUUGGGUUUCAUUUUAUGCAAUAUUUAAAAAAUAUAUAUAUAUAUUGAGAAUUUAGAGAUUUUUUUAAAAGCAAAAGACAAAUAGCCUUCAAAGCAAACAAUAAAUUUUUUAAAAAGGCAAGUUUUGAGGCUAAAGUCUAUCAAUUGAUAAACAGUGAGAAUAUAGUUAAUGACAUAAUGACUCUUGAUGACAUUAGUUUUGGCAUCACUUCUUAUGAAUUCUUAAAGCUCUAAUUUGAAUUUUCCAUUGAAAAACUCUUCAAACUUCCAUCCAUUUUUUUCAGUAAGUUAUCCUUAGUAUCUGCCCAAUCCUACAACUGUUAACAACCAAUACAGGGGAAAUGUCAUCAAACUAUUUGAAUUUUCCAUUGAAAAACUCUUCUAACUUCCCAUCCAUUUUUUUCAGUAAGUUAUCCUUAGUAAGUAUCUGCCCAAUCCUACAACUAUAACAACCAAUACAGGGGAAAUGUCAUCAAACUCUAAAGCAGCCACCAAAACAGAACGUAAACUUAACCCCCAAGUCCUAAAUCUUAAAACUUUAACCCUAAAAAGAUUCACUGUCCUCUAUGAUUAGCACAAACAGGAGAAAUAACACCCUAAUGAAAUGCUUGAAAACACAAAAGUUUACAAGAUUAUGGGUAAAUGUACACUAACGAGCUUUUGUUCUGGUUUAGGUAAGAUAUACUUAAAAAGUAUGACUUUAAAGUUUGAUAUAGUUUAAAAUUUAAAGUUUAGCUGUAAGAAUAGCCUUGAAUUGUGUGUUUAAAACUUUAAAAUCAUACUUAAAACUUACUUUCCUUCCUAAACCUUAACAAAUGGCCUUGCCCCCGAGCACGUGCCCCUUACCUUCAAUCAUUUUGUCUGUUCCAGCUUUUUAGCUGGGGAUUAGUGGUUGCGUUUGCAAGGCUAUGUUACCGCAUAAAUGUGAUACCACUCAUAGUGGUGGCAGGUUUGAGCUUUCAUUUUAAUAUUGAGGUGGCUGCAUGAUUUAGGGUGUGUGGAUUCCCACUUCUUUAUGCAUGCAUACACAUCUAAUCUGCAAUAAUUUAUAACUAAAGCAUCUAAAAAGAAUUUAAAAUCAUUGUCUGAUAAACACGAACAAGAAGUUAAAUAAAUUGCGUGUGCUCAACUUAAAACAUAUUUUAGCGUUAUAUAGUCAAAAACCAUAUCUUUAUUAUAAACAUGCCUUUUUGAAAAGAUUACACAAAUAAAAAAGCUUGUGAAAAUCACCAAUUGAUCUGUAUGCCAUGGAAAUUCUAGAAACAAGAUGCAAUAUCUACAUAAGUGCUUCACAUAUUAGAAAAUAAAAUCCGAGUUAUCUAGUAGCAAAAUUAUCCUUUAAACAUACUGUUUAUAUUUAUAAUGAUGAGAAAGCGUAAACUUAUGCACACAGGUAGAUGGAGAAAUGCUUAGUUGAUAUAUGAAAUGAACAUAUGCGCAGACAUGUAUGUGUAUUACCUUUUGAGAAGUUGAGGGUGAAAGUCGGUUGAUCAGAUCCAAGGUAGUUGAUGUGAAAGACAAGUUCAUCCGGCAAGUCAUCUUUGGUCCUCCAGACAACCCAGCCAACACCUGCAUAUACAAGGCCGUACUUGUGACCACUGACAUUAAUGCUCUUCACCAGUGGCAAACGGAAAUCCCAUUCAAGGUCUGGAUAGAGAAAAGGAGCAAUAAAUCCGCCGCUAGCAGCAUCAACAUGAAUGGGGGUGUCCCAACCGGUCUCCUCAUUCUUUUUGGUGAGGAGGUCAUGAAGAAGCUUAACAUCCUCAAAUUCUCCCGUCAAGGUUGAUCCCAGAAUGGCUGCAACACAAAUGGUGUUCUCAUCUACCAACUCAACAGCUUUCACAGGAUUCAUCACAUAAUAUCCCUCUUCCAGUUUCACCUCCUUCAGCUCAACCUCAAAGUACCUCGCAA